RNAcentral lists this ribosomal RNA (364 nucleotides) under uncultured bacterium. Its description in RNAcentral is "partial 16S ribosomal RNA". It matches the Rfam family "Bacterial small subunit ribosomal RNA", at positions 338 to 699 of the family's 1533-position model. The record is from RNAcentral.
CCUACGGGUGGCAGCAGUGAGGAAUAUUGGUCCAUGGACGGAAGUCUGAACCAGCCAUGCCGCGUGCAGGAAGACGGCUCUAUGAGUUGUAAACUGCUUUUGUACAAGGGUAAACCUUACUACUUGUAUUCAGCUGCAAGUACUGUACGCAUAAGGAUCGGCUAACUCCGUGCCAGCAGCCGCGGUAAUACGGAGGUUCCAAGCGUUAUCCGGAUUUAUUGGGUUUAAAGGGUGCGUAGGCGGAUUGAUAAGUUAGAGGGGAAAUUCCCGAGCUUAACUCGGGAACUGCAUGUAAUACUGUUGAUCUAGAGAGUAGAUGAGGUAGGCGGAAUGGAUGGUGUAGCGGUGAAAUGCUUAGAUAUCA